This 30-nucleotide non-coding RNA is filed under the name Mus musculus (house mouse). Lineage: Eukaryota; Metazoa; Chordata; Mammalia; Rodentia; Muridae. The record is from RNAcentral.
UAGGAAAAAAUCAAUGUCUUCAAACUCCAA